Molecule: ribosomal RNA, 479 nt
Filed under: uncultured anaerobic ammonium-oxidizing bacterium
Lineage: Bacteria
Description: bacterial SSU rRNA
Rfam family: Bacterial small subunit ribosomal RNA
Source: RNAcentral
UUUCGCAAUGCCCGAAAGGGUGACGAUGCGACGCCGCGUGCGGGAAGAAGGCCUUCGGGUUGUAAACCGCUGUCGGGAGUUAAGAAAUGUAAGGAUGUUAAUAGCAUCUUUGCUUGACUAAGGCUCCGGAGGAAGCCACGGCUAACUCUGUGCCAGCAGCCGCGGUAAUACAGAGGCGGCAAGCGUUGUUCGGGGUUAUUGGGCGUAAAGAGCACGUAGGCGGCUAUGUAAGUCGGUUGUGAAAGCCUUCCGCUCAACGGGAGAACAGCAUCCGAUACUGCAUGGCUUGAGUGCGGGAGGGGAGAGUGGAACUUCUGGUGGAGCGGUGAAAUGCGUAGAUAUCAGAAGGAACGCCGGCGGCGAAAGCGGCUCUCUGGCCCAUAACUGACGCUGAGUGUGCGAAAGCUAGGGGAGCAAACGGGAUUAGAUACCCCGGUAGUCCUAGCCGUAAACGAUGGGCACUAAGUAGAGGGGUUUUA